UGAAAACAAACCGGCACACCAGGUUGAGACGCCAUCAGCAUGCUGAAAUUCUGAAAACAUGCGUGAUCGUGAGUUUCCAGUGUUUUUAUGAUCCAUGAUUACAUUUCAAUCGUAUUACAGAAUCAACAUGCAGACAAAAUCAUCAGUUGCAAGGUUAUAUUACACACAUCUGAUCGUUUAUUAUUUUAGAAAGUAUCUUGCUAUAUCAACAUUUGCUAUUUACAGUGAUGUUAUAUAUGUUCUUCUAAUUUGUAAGCAGCGCUUCGAAUGGCAAGAAAGGCGAUGAAACUAGUAAUAAACUCUGAACAGUAUAAAGCUAAACUAUAAACAGCAUAUAUUUGGCGUGAUAUAUAUUCUAUUUACGUCUAGUCGAGUGUGAGAAAUUUGAAAGUUGGUAUGCAUAGGAAGUAUUAAUGAAAAUCGCAUGUGUGUUUGGCGAAAUAUUUAUAUAAUUAUAAUUAACUACUUGGCUACUGAAAAAAUGUAAUUCGCUACAGAGUUCGCUACAGCUACAACUAUAUACGGUUUUGUAGAAGCAUGGAUAAUAAAAUAAAUGGAUAGAACUCUAGCUGACGUAAGCAAAAACAACCUAGUUGCAAUCUGUGACGUCACGCGUAUUGCAAAGUUCUCGGCAUUUUUGUUGUUUCGCUAUACUUUCCGCUUUAAAAGAGUAAUAUUGAAGCAUAUACUGGUCUAAUUGUUUUAAAAACAUGCCUAAGCCACGACAAAGUAUUCAAGGUAAAUGUUUUUCAUCUUUGUUUUGUAUUUUUUACAUUUGUAGCUACGAAAUUGGCGUCCCCAAUUUUAACGAAAUCUGGGAUGACUUUUUCACUGUUUAGUGUUGAAAUAUUUGCCAAAAAUUGACUGGGAAUACUUAGAGAUUUCAUCGUAGAAUGGCGUGGUUAUAUUCAUUUGCUCUUUGACUAAAAUGUUUAGCUGUAAUUGCUAAACAUGCCGUUUUUGAGAAUUUGGUUUGCAACUAUGUUUGAACAUCCAAUCACGCCAUCGAUCAGCCCAUUGAAAACAUUAGGUACGUCACAUCAGCUAGUUUCCUAUCCAUUUAUUUUAUUACCAUGGUAGAAGUAAUCAAAAACUUACUCGCUGUACUUGAAAAUUGUUAUUCGCUAUAUACAGUAGGAAAUUCGCUACAGUAGGGAAUUCGCUAUACUUGGUCAUUUAUCUGGCCUGAAAGCAAAUAUAUCACUUGAACGAAGGAACCGCAUUCAAUCUUGUUGCAAUUUAACAAAAACCUUUUCAUCUCUUGCUGAGGUAUAGUAGACAUGUUCAAAAAAGCGAACCUUUCAACAGAGCUCCAAAUUAUAUGAAGUUCGAUCUUUGUUACCAUAAAGUAACACUCUCUUCCCCUUUAACUUUCGACAAUUUUUAAUAAACUUUUCCUUAGCACGAUAACAUCUGAAUUUAAAAAAGACGAGUUCUGUUGCGAAAAAAAUUGAGACCGUUUCAUAGCAAUCUUCAUCAGUUUUUUCAUACAAUGCCAGAUAUUCUAAGCCAGUUAUACUUUCAGCAGCAAUUGCUACUAGUAUUGUGCUUCCUUAAAUCCUAAUGACAUUUUUGCGAAGGCUAGCGCAGAACGUAACAAGCUAUUCGAUCAUACUGAGGCUGUUUUAUUGUCAGUAGUAGCUUACCCCCUAUUUGUUUAAUAUAAUUUCUAGCAACAACACCAGGAGGAGAUACGACAACACUUUCUCCAGCUACACCACCUACAACAACAGGUAAGUACAGUACUUAAAUAUUGAAUGGUUAAAAAAUAAAACAAAUCUUCAGAAAAUCUUCCUGAUCGCACAUACCCUAGUCGUGAAGGACUGGUACAAGCUAGAUUAGCGCUAACCUCGGGUUGUAAUUUUACGCGCUGUUUUGGUUUGGGUACAUUUGCACUUAAUUUAAUCUGUUUAUAUAUAAUUAUUUCAAACCUUUGGAAAAUAGAACUUCUAUUGAUCCAGGCAUGAAUUGUGGAAAACUGUCUUCAUGUUUCUAAACAAGAUUGCUUUGAGAUUGGCGUUAACUUGGCAUUGAGGUUUCCAGCUUUUGAAAAAACGGCCCCUGUUUAAUUGUGUAUACGUAGUUUAAAUUCUGUUUGCUUAAUUUCUGUUUGUUUAAUAUAAUUUCUAGCAACAUCGACAAUGGGGGGAAAUACGACAACACCUUUUCCAACCACACCAAUAG
Molecule: long non-coding RNA, 2184 nt
Filed under: Paramuricea clavata
Lineage: Eukaryota; Metazoa; Cnidaria; Anthozoa; Malacalcyonacea; Plexauridae
Source: RNAcentral